ACUCUCCUCUGGAUGUUGACUCAACCAAAAAUCCCGGAACCAAGUCGAGGUCUUCACAAGUUCCCACCAUUCCGGUGAGAAAUCCUCCACUUGUCGAUACACAUUAGGGAUAAAGAGAGGUGCAUUAGGAUUCAAUGUGGUUCUUGUUGAGAUCAAAGUAGCCAUUUCACCACCUUUAUUAAAUCAAUCCAACCACAACAAUAGUCAAUUUCCCUGAAACAGCAACAAUCAAGAGUCAAUCUUUAUCAUCAAACCUAACCGGUUAUCUCCAAUCGAAUCCAAACACCCUUUUAACAAAGAAUCAAAGAUCAUGAAUCCUAGACCCCAUAAAACCACAAAACAUCUAACAAAUCAUCCCAAAUCACAAAAAAAAAAAAACUAGAACUAGAAACAUCAGUCAUAACAGAAAAAACAACAAAAAUCCAAACCCCAGAACAAAGAAUCCAUCAAUAUCAUCACAAAAACAACA
Long non-coding RNA from Populus trichocarpa (black cottonwood), 469 nucleotides. RefSeq lists it as uncharacterized. Lineage: Eukaryota; Viridiplantae; Streptophyta; Magnoliopsida; Malpighiales; Salicaceae. The record is from RefSeq and is a predicted model, not a curated record. The transcript is spliced from 2 exons.